RNAcentral lists this unclassified non-coding RNA (320 nucleotides) under Hevea brasiliensis (rubber tree). The record is from RNAcentral. Lineage: Eukaryota; Viridiplantae; Streptophyta; Magnoliopsida; Malpighiales; Euphorbiaceae.
GCCAUGUACAUGUUAGAUGAAGGCAAAUGCUGCUGGUCAAUAGUGAUUAACAAAUGAAAGGGCGGGGGGCAUUGGGAAACUUGCAAAGAGCGGGUCCUGGAAAAUAAAUGAAGCUUGCUUUUUGUUACGAUGACGACGUUGACAACGAUCUUUUAACGGAGCAGCAGAUUAACUGUGGUUUUUAUUGAAGGCACUGAUGUGCGUGCUCCUCCAAAGUAAUUACCAAUUGGUUUGAGAAAGCAAUUCUUUUGGUUAGAAUGCUCACCAUUCAAAUGAGUUUCAAUUCGGGUAGAAUACACAAGGUUGAUAACAGAAAUGAG